GACGAACGCUGGCGGCGCGCCUAACACAUGCAAGUCGAACGAGCGAGAGGAGGUUUCCUUUCUCAAGCGAGUGGCGAACGGGUGAGUAACGCGUGAGGAACCUGCCUCAAAGAGGGGGACAACAGUUGGAAACGACUGCUAACACCGCAUAAGCCCACGACCCGGCAUCGGGUAGAGGGAAAAGGAGCAAUCCGCUUUGAGAUGGCCUCGCGUCCGAUUAGCUAGUUGGUGAGGUAAUGGCCCACCAAGGCGACGAUCGGUAGCCGGACUGAGAGGUUGAACGGCCACAUUGGGACUGAGACACGGCCCAGACUCCUACGGGAGGCAGCAGUGGGGAAUAUUGCACAAUGGGGGAAACCCUGAUGCAGCGACGCCGCGUGGAGGAAGAAGGUCUUCGGAUUGUAAACUCCUGUUGUUGAGGAAGAUAAUGACGGUACUCAACAAGGAAGUGACGGCUAACUACGUG
This 466-nucleotide ribosomal RNA is filed under the name uncultured bacterium. Its description in RNAcentral is "partial 16S ribosomal RNA". It matches the Rfam family "Bacterial small subunit ribosomal RNA", at positions 28 to 507 of the family's 1533-position model. The record is from RNAcentral.